GGCUCAGGAUGAACGCUAGCUACAGGCUUAACACAUGCAAGUCGAGGGGAACGAUAUUGGAAGCUUGCUUCUGAUAGGCGUCGACCGGCGCACGGGUGAGUAACGCGUAUCCAACCUGCCCAUCACUUGGGGAUAACCUUGUGAAAGUAAGACUAAUACCCCAAUGACGUCUCUAGAAGACAUCUGAAAGAGAUUAAAGAUUUAUCGGUGAUGGAUGGGGAUGCGUCUGAUUAGCUUGUUGGCGGGGUAACGGCCCACCAAGGCGACGAUCAGUAGGGGUUCUGAGAGGAAGGUCCCCCACAUUGGAACUGAGACACGGUCCAAACUCCUACGGGAGGCAGCAGUGAGGAAUAUUGGUCAAUGGGCGAGAGCCUGAACCAGCCAAGUAGCGUGCAGGAUGACGGCCCUAUGGGUUGUAAACUGCUUUUAUAAGGGAAUAAAGUGGGAGUCGUGACUCUUUUGCAUGUACCUUAUGAAUAAGGACCGGCUAAUUCCGUG
This 498-nucleotide ribosomal RNA is filed under the name uncultured bacterium. RNAcentral's name for it is "bacterial SSU rRNA". It matches the Rfam family "Bacterial small subunit ribosomal RNA", at positions 21 to 507 of the family's 1533-position model. The record is from RNAcentral.